RNAcentral lists this ribosomal RNA (268 nucleotides) under uncultured prokaryote. RNAcentral describes it as "partial 16S ribosomal RNA". It matches the Rfam family "Bacterial small subunit ribosomal RNA", at positions 524 to 788 of the family's 1533-position model. The record is from RNAcentral.
UACGUAGGUGGCGAGCGUUGUCCGGAUUUACUGGGCAUAAAGGGAGCGUAGGCGGACUUUUAAGUGAGAUGUGAAAUACCCGGGCUCAACUUGGGUGCUGCAUUUCAAACUGGAAGUCUAGAGUGCAGGAGAGGAGAAUGGAAUUCCUAGUGUAGCGGUGAAAUGCGUAGAGAUUAGGAAGAACACCAGUGGCGAAGGCGAUUCUCUGGACUGUAACUGACGCUGAGGCUCGAAAAGCGUGGGGGAGCAAACAGGGAUUAGAUACCCU